This is a long non-coding RNA of Drosophila ficusphila, 746 nucleotides long. RefSeq lists it as uncharacterized. The transcript is spliced from 4 exons. Lineage: Eukaryota; Metazoa; Arthropoda; Insecta; Diptera; Drosophilidae. The record is from RefSeq and is a predicted model, not a curated record.
AUAUUCCAACUGCGAUGCAUGUGGAGUCGCUCCAGCCAGGAGUCGUCAGAUUGGGAAUCAGGCAAAACAGUUCACCAGGAGAAAAAUCUAUAUGUUAUGCCAUUUUUAAUGAGUCCAUCUACUUUCAAUAUAAGUAGUUUAAGCCACAUGUUGGGCGCCAAAUAACAAAUGCACAAAGCUUUCCUGUUGCAAGUUUUAAUUGAUCAGGAGUCAUGAACCAUCAUGUGUCGCGACUCAGAAUUGGAGCCACCAGGCGCGUCUGAUUAUCGGCAGGACAACGACAACUGCGAACUGAAAACUGAAAAUGCGAAGACGACGACGAUGAGACGGCAUAGGGCAUAACUCAGAUGCUCUGCUAUGAUAAUUUCCAAUAAGACCCGCCGUCGCUCUCCACCCCGAUCUGCAGCAAUCCCCGAUCCGUGGUCCGUGGUCCGCUGAUCUGCUCUGGAAAUUGAUGAUGCCGGGAGAACAGAUCAUACCGGAAAGUGUAUAUAUGGAAGUUCUGGAAGAGGUUCGAAAAGACCAGAAUCAACCACGGAAAGCGUGGGUACUACAUUAGAAAAUCACCCACCUGGAAUCGAGACAACUGCCGGCCCUGACUAGAAUAGCAAGAUGAUUAAAUGUUACUGCUGGCUGAUCCAAUUAAGUGGCGUAUAAUAACAAAACCAACUCAACACGAAAGUCGUUUGGAAAAAGUGUGCCACUUGUUUGUGUAAGACAGCCUAAUAAAAUCUAUUUAAAGCUCA